This is an RNA transcript of Setaria italica (foxtail millet), 3484 nucleotides long. It is a transcript of the gene named protein FAR1-RELATED SEQUENCE 6, with no coding region annotated. The transcript is spliced from 10 exons. The record is from RefSeq and is a predicted model, not a curated record. NCBI's taxonomy places the organism in Eukaryota, Viridiplantae, Streptophyta, Magnoliopsida, Poales, Poaceae.
CAAACACCCCCGAAGUCCCUCCCCUGCCGGCCGCACCUUCUCCGUCCCGUCCUUGUCAACAGCUCGCUUCUCUCUCCUCCGACGCUUCGUGCUCGUCCCAACUCUGGUGGGUGGUGGUAGACGGCCGGCGACGAGGCCAUCCUUUGUCGUCUUCAGUGAGCAAGGUGAAUCCAGCCAUGGUGCAGGUGCAGUCAGUUGCCAAGGAGUUUCUGGUGGCCCCUGCACUGCAGCAGCAAUGAAGAUCGCGAGAGGCCAAUCCAGCCAAGCUGCGGUUGCGGUUGCAGUUUAGUUUCCACAUUUUUGGGGUUUAGUUUAGCUGAACCCCCAUGUCCGACGUCGAGGCUGCCUCCUUGUUAGAGGAGUUGGCGAGGGAGGCGACAAUUGAUGAUGUGGCUGUUCUCGUGAAUGGGAAUGGCGAAGAGCAACAUGGCAAUGAAGCAGUGCUGAAAAGUGCUGAGGCGCUCCAGAAUUUGGGAGGGAUUUCGGCCAAGGAGGUGCCUCAGCACGAGGGCAAGGAGGUGAUACUCGUGGAUGAUAACGACAGCGGGCAGGAGGAUGGUGGGAAGGCUAAGGUGGAUGAGAACGCGCCACGUUUCGGGCUGAGAUUCAAAACUUAUGAUGAUGCGCUCAAGUACUAUAAGCAAUAUGCCGAGGAUUCUGGGUUUGCGGCGAUCAUUCUGAAGUCAUCGUAUCUAAAGUCGGGGGUGUGCCGAAGGUUGGUGCUUGGUUGUAGUCGAGCUGGGAGAGGGAGAGCAAAUGCGUGCUAUCUGUCUAGAGAGUCAACCAAGAUCAAUUGCCCAGCAAGGAUCUCGUUAAAGUUAAGGCAAGAUAGGUGGCUUCACAUUGAUGAUGCUAAGCUUGAGCACAACCAUCCACUUAACCAGUCCUCUGUGGCACUCACUAAUUGUUACAAGAAGCUAACAGAUGCCAAGAAUGGGGAACCUGCUUCACGGUUGAAGGGUCGCAGGAACGUUCCAGCUGAAAAAGAGCAAGGGAACUUUACUGAGAUAGGAAGACUUAAAUUUGGGGAAGGAGAUGACGAGUAUAUCCAGAAGUUUUUUGGGAACAUGCAGAACAAGAAUCCUUAUUUCUUCUACUUAGUUGAUUUGGAUUAUCAAGGGCGUUUGAGGAACUUGUUCUGGAGUGAUGCUAGGUCAAGGGCAGCAAAUGAUUACUUCGGUCAUGAUGUUGUUUACUUUGACACCUCGUACUUGACAGAAAAAUACGAUUUGCCACUUGUUUUCUUCACUGGGAUGAAUAAUCAUGGUCAGCCUGUUCUGUUUGGUACUGGUUUACUUUCAGAUCUAAAUGCUGACAGUUAUGCUUGGUUAUUUAGGGCAUUUUUAGCAUGCAUGAAGGGUCGCUGUCCAAUGGCAAUCAUUACUGAGCAUUACAAUGCUAUUCUAGAUGCUGUUCGAGAAGUUCUACCUGAAGUUAGACAUCGCCUUUGCCUGUAUCGUAUUAUGAAAGAUGUAGCUGAGAAUUUGAAAGAACAUGCAGAGUUUAAAACAAUCAAGAAAGCACUGAAUAAAGUAACAUAUGGGUCUUUGAAGAUCCCAGAGUUUGAAGCGGAUUGGAAGAAGAUUAUAGAUGAGCAUGGACUUGGAGAAAAUGAGUGCCUCAGUUCCCUAUAUGAGCAUCGCCAACUCUGGGCACCUGCAUAUCUCAGAGACAAAUUCUGGGCAGGGAUGUCUAUUUCACAGCAUGGGGAGUCUAUUUCCUCGUACUAUGAUGGUUUUGUGUACCCAAAAACUUCUUUGAAACAAUUUUUCAGUAAAUAUGAGAUGAUAUUAGAGAACAAAUACAAGAAGGAGUGGCAAGCAGAUGAAGAAUCCUCCCAUAGGACUCCACUAACAGUAACGAAGUUCUACAUGGAAGAGCAGCUGGCCAAAGCCUACACAAUAAAUAUGUUCAGAAAAUUUCAGGAUGAGUUGAAAGCCACAAUGUAUUGUGAUGGUAUGCCAAUUAAAGUUGAUGGUCGGCUUGUCACUUUUGAAGUAAAAGAAUGCUCGUACAUGGAAGAUGGAAAGGACACAGAGAGCAGGACCUAUGAAGUUUACUUUUGUAAAGAAGGGAAGGUUGAAAUUGAGUGUGAAUGUGGUUUCGUUCAGUUCACUGGCGUCCUAUGUAGACAUGCAUUAUCUGUGUUGAAGUUGCAGGAGAUAUUUGAGAUCCCAUCAGAUUAUGUUCUUGAUCGCUGGAGAAGGGACUAUAAAAAAUUGUAUUCUAAAGCAAACAAACCCAAUGAAAUGCCCCUUAGUGGAAUUGUUGAGCGCUCUGAUUAUUUGUUCAGUCAAUGUAGUCAGUUGCUCAAUCUAGGGUUUGUAUCUGAGAGUAGGUACCUUGUUGCUCUGAAGUUACUGAGAGAUGCGGAAAGAUCUCUUCUAGAUGAUGGACUACCUGCUAGAGACAGGCAGUCAACGCUUCUUUCAUUUGAGGCUGAUGCACCAGAAAAUGGUCAAGGCCUUUUUAAUCCCCAGUUUUCAGAGAGUGUAAAGAAUUCUCAGUCAGCCCAUGCAAAACGUCGCGGCCGGCCACCGAAGAAAGUGACAGAAUCUAAUGGUGAAACUGUAACACAGCCAAACAAAGAACAGGAUUUUCUGCGGUCAUCAUUUGUCACAGACGAUACAAAUAUGGUCCAAGGGCCGCCCUCUGCCUCCCAUCUUGAAGGUCCUCACAUGGGAGUGCAAGGAGGCAUUGAUUUAAUGGAAGGAAUACCAAAUCUCUCAUUUGGUAAUCAUUUUGGAAUGGAUAUUAAUCACCAACAUCAAGUACCCAGCCACCAAAGGAUGCAGCAGAACAAUUUCAUGCAGGUGCAGCCAGAACCCCAUGGGUUUGCGAGUCAGUGGGUUUACCACCCAAUGUUGCAGGAUAAUCCAGUGCUAAGAACUCCUACGCGAAGAACAGGGUAGCGCGUGUUCUUUGCUUUAAUAUUUCAGUAGAAUUUUAGAAAGUAUUCAGGUGUAUGGAGGGCGAGUGAUUAUCAUGGCGAGUUCAUGCACUCAUGUGAUGUACAAUGACUUCUCUGACUCCUGUAAUGACUGCCUGAAAUCCUGAACUAACCUGAGGAUAUGGAUGCCGAGGCACACUACUAAAGGCAAGAACUUGGCGGAGGGUCCACUGGAUGCUAACUUUUUGGUUAUCUGAUACUGUUAGCUGCUGUCGCCAGGCUGAAAUUUUCAAGCUGUACAUAACCAUUAGCCCAUGUGUACAUCUUCCAGCGCCACAGAUUAGACUAUUAGAGGAUUUUGAGCGCGCCUGCAAAGUUUUAGUGGUCUGAAUACUUGUGGAUAAGGCACUGCAACACGCAAUUAGGAUUUUCCUUUGCCCUCUGGCAGUGGUUUUUGAAGCCUGUAAGAUUGGCACGGUCACAAGUAUUAUCAGCGUGUCAGAACAUGUGUGCACCAGUUCCCUUAAUGCGCUCCAGUUUUGAUAAUGUGACAAUGUUCAGUGGACGUAUUGUUAAUUGGGUGCUUAUUGGUUA